UUGUAAAAUAAGUUUAGUCCAAUCUACAAAUCUGUAAUUUUAGUGAUUGAAUCAUAAAUCUCAUAGGAUUUUCAGUUCAAUCAUUUAAAUAUACCAUAAAUAAAAAAGUUUAUUGUACUCCAUUAAAUACCAAAUGUGUCUUGAUUCUAACGGGAUGUAUGUUAUUCGAUUUGGAUUCGAGGUAGAUAGAAAUAAUGAUAAAGUUGACGCCGU
This 213-nucleotide long non-coding RNA is filed under the name Elaeis guineensis (African oil palm). Its description in RNAcentral is "long non-coding RNA (EGUI_LNC072506)". The record is from RNAcentral. Lineage: Eukaryota; Viridiplantae; Streptophyta; Magnoliopsida; Arecales; Arecaceae.